Long non-coding RNA from Gasterosteus aculeatus aculeatus (three-spined stickleback), 1657 nucleotides. Lineage: Eukaryota; Metazoa; Chordata; Actinopteri; Perciformes; Gasterosteidae. The record is from Ensembl.
GCGUCCUGAUGGCGUCCCGAUGACGUGGUGUCCUGAUGGUGUCCCGAUGAUGUGGUGUCCUGAUGGCGUCCCGAUGGCGUGGCGUCCUGAUGGCGUCCUGUUGGUCUGCAGACAAGGAGAAGAGACAUGAGGAAGAUCAUCAGGAUGUCUCUGUGUGUACAUCUAAUUGUUAGUGUGUCUGUGUGUAAAUCAAAUUGUUAUUGUGUCUUUGUGUACAUCUAAAUGUUAGUGUGUGUCUUUGUUUAGAACCAAAUGUUAGUGUGUGUGUGUACAUCUAAUUGUUAGUGCGUCUGUGUGUACAUCUAAAUAUUAAUGUGUCUUUGUGUACAUCUAAAUGUUAGUGUGUCUUUGUUUAGAACCAAAUGUUAGUGUGUCUGUGUGUACAUCUAAUUGUUAGUGUGUCUGUGUGUAGAUCUAACUGUUAGUGUGUCUGUGUGUACAUCUAAUUGUUAUUGUGUCUUUGUGUACAUCUAAAUAUUAGUGUGUGUCAUUGUUUAGAACCAAAUGAUAGUGUGUCUGAGUUCAUCUGUGUGUGUGUGUGUGUCAUGAGUAGAUCUGGAUUUGCUCCUGAGGGGUUGACGCGGCGUCCUGAUGGCGUCCCGAUUCAGAUUUGUCCUGAGGGCGUCCCGAUGACGUGGCAUCCUGAUGGCGUCCCGAUGACGUGGUGUCCUGAUGGCGUCCCGAUGGCGUGGCGAGAAGAGACAUCUGGAUUUGCUCCUGAGGGGUUGACGCGGCGUCCUGAUGGCGUCCUGAUGGAAUCCUUAUGGCGUCCCUAUGACGUGGCGUCCUGAUAGCGUCCUGAUGGUGUCCCGAUGACGUAGCGUCCCGAUGACGUGGCGUCCUGAUGGCGUCCUGUUGGUCUGCAGACAAGGAGAAGAGACAUCUGCAUUUGCUCCUGAGGGGUUGACGCGGCGUCCUGAUGGCGUCCCGAUGACGUGGUGUCCUGAUGGCGUCCCGAUGACGUGGCGUCCUGAUGGCGUCCUGUUGGUCUGCAGACAAGGAGAAGAGACAUGAGGAGGAUCAUCAGGAUGUGUCUAUCUGGAUUUGCUCCUGAGGGGUUGAUGUGACGUCCUGAUGGCGUCCCGUUGACGUGGCGUCCUGAUGGCGUCCCGUUGGUCUGCAGACAAGGAGAAGAGACGUGAGGAGGAUCAUCAGGAUGUGAGACAAGAUUCAUAGAUCCAAUUAUUUUAAUUUGAUGCACAUUUUAAUUAUUUCAUGUUUGUAUGGAUGUGUAAAUCUACAUUAUAUAUUUGUGGUUGUUAAACUGUAUUUCUGUAUUUGCUUUUUAUGUUUAGCUAGUCUCUGUGCAUACCAAUAUGUUAGUGCGUCUCUGUGUAAGUACUUUUUACAUUACAUUACAUUUCAUUUAGCUGACGCUUUUAUCCAAAGCGACUUACAAUAAGUGCAUUCAACCAUAGGGUACAAACUCAGAAGUGCAAUUUCCUCAAAUAACUUUUAUAUGUUAGUGCGUCUCUGUGUAAGUACUUUUAUAUGUUAAUGCGUCUCUGUGUACAUCUACAUGACAACAGCAGGAAUCAGAGGUUUAUCUCAAGGUAUUAGCUCUAAAUCACAGCCUUCUCCACCCGAUAGACCAAUACAUCAUUCACAGCAGUAAGGCUGCAGUCUGUCUGGAUUCCUCACUUACCUUGAGCUCUGU